GGGGAUGUAGCUCAAUGGUAGAGCGCAUGCUUUCCAUGUAUAAGGUUUCGGGUUCAAUCCCCAGCAUCUCCA
RNAcentral lists this transfer RNA (72 nucleotides) under Ornithorhynchus anatinus (platypus). RNAcentral describes it as "tRNA-Gly (TCC) (tRNA-Gly-TCC-10-1)". It matches the Rfam family "tRNA". Rfam says of the family: Transfer RNA (tRNA) molecules are approximately 80 nucleotides in length. Their secondary structure includes four short double-helical elements and three loops (D, anti-codon, and T loops). Lineage: Eukaryota; Metazoa; Chordata; Mammalia; Monotremata; Ornithorhynchidae. The record is from Rfam by way of RNAcentral.